This 784-nucleotide ribosomal RNA is filed under the name uncultured bacterium. RNAcentral describes it as "SSU rRNA". It matches the Rfam family "Bacterial small subunit ribosomal RNA", at positions 70 to 853 of the family's 1533-position model. The record is from RNAcentral.
CGCAGUGUAGCAAUACAUGGGUGGCGACCGGCAAACGGGUGCGGAACACGUACGCAACCUUCCUUCAGGCGGGGAAUAGCCCAGAGAAAUUUGGAUUAAUACCCCAUGAUAUUUUGAGAUGGCAUCAUCUUAUUAUUAAAGCUACGGCACCUGGAGAUGGGCGUGCGGCUGAUUAGGUAGUUGGCGGGGUAAUGGCCCACCAAGCCUACGAUCAGUAGCUGAUGUGAGAGCAUGAUCAGCCACACGGGCACUGAGACACGGGCCCGACUCCUACGGGAGGCAGCAGUAAGGAAUAUUGGUCAAUGGACGCAAGUCUGAACCAGCCAUGCCGCGUGGAGGAUGAAGGUCCUCUGGAUUGUAAACUUCUUUUAUCUGGGACGAAAAAAGGGUUUUCUAACUCGUCUGACGGUACCAGAUGAAUAAGCACCGGCUAACUCCGUGCCAGCAGCCGCGGUAAUACGGAGGGUGCAAGCGUUAUCCGGAUUCACUGGGUUUAAAGGGUGCGUAGGCGGGCAUUUAAGUCAGUGGUGAAAUACCUGAGCUUAACUUGGGAACUGCCAUUGAUACUAUUUGUCUUGAAUGUCGUGGAGGUUAGCGGAAUAUGUCAUGUAGCGGUGAAAUGCUUAGAUAUGACAUAGAACACCUAUUGCGAAGGCAGCUAACUACGCGAAUAUUGACGCUGAGGCACGAAAGCGUGGGGAUCAAACAGGAUUAGAUACCCUGGUAGUCCACGCCCUAAACGAUGAUUACUCGACAUUAGCGAUACACUGUUAGUGUCUGAGCG